CGCUACGGACUUAAAUUUUGAGCCUUAGUAGAGAAAUUUACUAAGUGACUGUUUUCACAUUCAGGGAAACCUAAGGUUUGAGAUAUGAGGCAAUCCUGAGCCAAAGUUUAUUUAAUUAUGAAAUAGGUGCAGAGACUCGAAGGAAACUAUCCUAACGAAAAAUUUUUUCUCUAUUUUUUAUUAUUAGUAUUAUUUAAGUGUACAUAUUAAAAAUAUGUAAAAGAUCUGAAUACUAAAUAUUAAUAAUAAUGUCUAACUAAUUUUUAAUAGACGAGGAUAAAGAUAGAGUCCUUUUUUAUAAUCUAUAUAAUUUUUAUUUAUAGAUUAAAAAAGAAAAUCCGUUGGCUUUAAUAGACCUUGAGGGUUCAAGUCCCUCUACCCCCA
Molecule: non-coding RNA, 384 nt
Filed under: Diplasiolejeunea sp. Wilson et al. 04-06
Lineage: Eukaryota; Viridiplantae; Streptophyta; Jungermanniopsida; Porellales; Lejeuneaceae
Description: partial tRNA-Leu
Rfam family: Group I catalytic intron (bases 3-313)
About the family: Group I catalytic introns are large self-splicing ribozymes. They catalyse their own excision from mRNA, tRNA and rRNA precursors in a wide range of organisms.
Source: RNAcentral